AAAAAAAAAAAACGGAACAAGGUUUUCCAGACACACGAUCUUCUCUCAAUCUGACCAUCAAAGCCCCAAAAACAAACUCCUAUCCUAGUUAGAUCUAAACCGCCUGCAACCAAGCAAGAAUUUUGAUCUUCUAAUCCGUAUGAGCCCACAAUCCGGUACACUCCUUCGCAUCCCCUCUCCGAUGAGUGAGACCAGCAGCUCUGAUUGAAAACUUGAGAUAUGCCAGAGUACCCCGGCUCAAAGUUUCUACUGUGUUCGGGCUUCAUUGGGGCAAUUUCUCGAGCAAUUGGCGUGUAACCCUAAACUGGUUCUGAGAUCACGAGAGAUCAAAAGUCUAACCUUCAAUUUAUAUCUAGUCGUUCUUAUUUUCUUUCUUGUGUCUCAGGUACAAUUUACUUUGGGUUAAUUUGAUUGCUGGUUAAAAGGGAAUUGUAGUUUGGUUCAAUUUCUAUGAAUUUUGGUUGAGAUUUUUUAGUUUGAAUAAUGCGUUUUUCUGGUUUUCAUGUUGCCCCAUUUUCAAAUGCCUUGGGUUCCUAUAUAUAUGGAGUUUCGGAUUUCUCACUGGAACAACAUCACUGCAAGAAGGAAGUAUACCUUGGAGAGAAUGUUUGCAAACCAGCUACUCGAAUGUGCAAAAGAUCAAUUAUCAUUUAGGGCCGUGACUCAGAUCUCCAAUGCUGCAAAUUGUUCUCAUGUCAUAAAUACAAAUUCUUGGUCUGGCAGUGGUCAUGUUUGGCCACACUGGGCAAUACCAAACCAGUACCAAAGAUAGAUCUGCAUCCUGUCAUCAAGGUGCUAUUUUCCGAGUGCAGCAGCAGCACUGAGUCUCAACUAAGGUGUAUUAAUUUGAGAGGCAACUUCCAUCCUUGAAGAACAAGUGAACAACCAAUUGGAUAUUGCAGGUUCAAUUGAUGACAAACAUGCGAAAUUUCCACAUUAUUUGGAUGUAGAAAGCUACUUUACAUACUGUACAUGCCCAUAUCACUACUUUGAAUAAUAAAAUUUUUCUGACAUUAGAAUAUAAAUUUUUUGUGUAAACAUUUACAUCAGCUAUGAUGUUUAUUUGUUAUGAGUGAAAGGUACUUUUAAUACA
Long non-coding RNA from Rosa rugosa (rugosa rose), 1093 nucleotides. RefSeq lists it as uncharacterized. The record is from RefSeq and is a predicted model, not a curated record. NCBI's taxonomy places the organism in Eukaryota, Viridiplantae, Streptophyta, Magnoliopsida, Rosales, Rosaceae. The transcript has 5 exons.